GGGUGAGUAACACGUGGAUAACCUACCUAUAAGACUGGGAUAACUUCGGGAAACCGGAGCUAAUACCGGAUGAUAUUUUGAACCGCAUGGUUCAAAAGUGAAAGACGGUCUUGCUGUCACUUAUAGAUGGAUCCGCGCUGCAUUAGCUAGUUGGUAAGGUAACGGCUUACCAAGGCAACGAUGCAUAGCCGACCUGAGAGGGUGAUCGGCCACACUGGAACUGAGACACGGUCCAG
Molecule: ribosomal RNA, 236 nt
Filed under: uncultured Staphylococcus sp.
Lineage: Bacteria; Bacillati; Bacillota; Bacilli; Caryophanales; Staphylococcaceae
Description: partial 16S ribosomal RNA
Rfam family: Bacterial small subunit ribosomal RNA
Source: RNAcentral